AGAAAGGUUUUUCCGAUUUUAAAACCACUAAAACAAACAGAAAAAUUAUCU
Zootermopsis nevadensis is the source of this 51-nucleotide non-coding RNA. Lineage: Eukaryota; Metazoa; Arthropoda; Insecta; Blattodea; Termopsidae. The record is from Rfam.